CUUAAUAGAAAGCAGUUGUUGUUGGGGGAUUCUAUCAUAAGAGGUGUGGAGAUGGACAAUGGUGGUCUUGUGAGAUGUCUUCCCGGAGCUAUUGCUCACAGAGACAGAAGACGUAUUUGUAAUAUUGUUAAGCGAGCAAAGCAGGAAGGGGAAUUGGAUGUACUUGUCCAUCUAGGGACAAAUGACUUGGCUUGCAAUGAGGUUUCAGAG
Molecule: non-coding RNA, 210 nt
Organism: Pelobates cultripes (western spadefoot toad)
Lineage: Eukaryota; Metazoa; Chordata; Amphibia; Anura; Pelobatidae
Source: the annotation of a GenBank genome assembly